RNAcentral lists this non-coding RNA (974 nucleotides) under Crocidura dongyangjiangensis. Its description in RNAcentral is "12S ribosomal RNA". It matches the Rfam family "Bacterial small subunit ribosomal RNA". Lineage: Eukaryota; Metazoa; Chordata; Mammalia; Eulipotyphla; Soricidae. The record is from RNAcentral.
UCUUUAAAGGUUUGGUCCCAGCCUUCUUAUUGUCUGGUAGUAAAAUUACACAUGCAAGUCUCCGCCCACCUGUGAGAAUACCCUUAAAACCAUUUAGGUUUAAAGGAGUUGGUAUCAAGCACACUCUUAACAAAAGAGUAGCUUAUAACACCUUGCCUAGCCACACCCCCACGGGAAACAGCAGUGAUAAAAAUUAGGCUAUAAACGAAAGUUUGACCUAGUUAUACUACAAUUAGGGUUGGUAAAUUUCGUGCCAGCCACCGCGGUCAUACGAUUAACCCAAGUUAAUAAGCACCGGCGUAAAGCGUGUUAAAGGAGAAAUUUUUUAAAUAAAGCUAAGACUUAACUAAGCUGUAGAAAGCAAUAGUUAAAAGAAAAUCAAAUUACUAAAGUAACUUUAUUAUAUCUUAUACACGAUAGCUAAGAACCAAACUGGGAUUAGAUACCCCACUAUGCUUAGCCCUAAACUAAAACAAUUUAAUAACAAAACUGUUCGCCAGAGUACUACUAGCAAUAGCUUAAAACUCAAAGGACUUGGCGGUGCUUUAUAUCCAUCUAGAGGAGCCUGUUCUAUAAUCGAUACACCCCGAUAAACCUCACCACUUCUUGCUAAUUCCGCCUAUAUACCGCCAUCUUCAGCAAACCCUUAAAAGGCAUAAUAGUAAGCCAAAGUAUUUUACAUAAAAACGUUAGGUCAAGGUGUAGCUUAUGAAGUGGGAAGAAAUGGGCUACAUUUUCUAAAUAUAGAAUAACCACUUAAACGAAAGUCUUUAUGAAAUUAAAGACUAAAGGAGGAUUUAGUAGUAAGUUAAGAAUAGAGUGCUUAACUGAAUAAGGCCAUGAAGCACGCACACACCGCCCGUCACCCUCUUCAAGUAUAAACGCUAAUAUACAUACAUAAUUUACAGCUAACCUAUAUUAGAAGAGAUAAGUCGUAACAAGGUAAGCAUACUGGAAAGUGUGCUUGGAUGAAU